UCCCUGGUGGCGAGCGGCGGACGGGUGAGUAAUGCAUAGGAAUCUGCCCGGUAGUGGGGGAUAACCUGGGGAAACCCAGGCUAAUACCGCAUACGCCCUACGGGGGAAAGCAGGGGCUCUUCGGACCUUGCGCUAUCGGAUGAGCCUAUGUCGGAUUAGCUGGUUGGUGAGGUAAUGGCUCACCAAGGCGACGAUCCGUAGCUGGUCUGAGAGGAUGAUCAGCCACAUCGGGACUGAGACACGGCCCGAACUCCUACGGGAGGCAGCAGUGGGGAAUAUUGGACAAUGGGCGCAAGCCUGAUCCAGCCAUGCCGCGUGUGUGAAGAAGGCCCUCGGGUUGUAAAGCACUUUCAGUGGGGAAGAAAGCCUUCCGGCUAAUACCCGGGAGGAAGGACAUCACCCACAGAAGAAGCACCGGCUAACUCCGUGCCAGCAGCCGCGGUAAUACGGAGGGUGCGAGCGUUAAUCGGAAUUACUGGGCGUAAAGCGCGCGUAGGUGGCUUGAUAAGCCGGUUGUGAAAGCCCCGGGCUCAACCUGGGAACGGCAUCCGGAACUGUCAGGCUAGAGUGCAGGAGAGGAAGGUAGAAUUCCCGGUGUAGCGGUGAAAUGCGUAGAGAUCGGGAGGAAUACCAGUGGCGAAGGCGGCCUUCUGGACUGACACUGACACUGAGGUGCGAAAGCGUGGGUAGCAAACAGGAUUAGAUACCCUGGUAGUCCACGCCGUAAACGAUGUCGACUAGCCGUUGGGUCCUUCGCGGACUUUGUGGCGCAGUUAACGCGAUAAGUCGACCGCCUGGGGAGUACGGCCGCAAGGUUAAAACUCAAAUGAAUUGACGGGGCCCGCACAAGCGGUGGAGCAUGUGGUUUAAUUCGAUGCAACGCGAGAACCUUACCUACCCUUGACAUCCUCGGAUCUGCCGGAGACGGCGGAGUGCCUUCGGGACCGAGU
RNAcentral lists this ribosomal RNA (950 nucleotides) under Billgrantia kenyensis. Its description in RNAcentral is "bacterial SSU rRNA". It matches the Rfam family "Bacterial small subunit ribosomal RNA", at positions 82 to 1032 of the family's 1533-position model. Lineage: Bacteria; Pseudomonadati; Pseudomonadota; Gammaproteobacteria; Oceanospirillales; Halomonadaceae. The record is from RNAcentral.